Molecule: long non-coding RNA, 1166 nt
Filed under: Triticum aestivum (bread wheat)
Lineage: Eukaryota; Viridiplantae; Streptophyta; Magnoliopsida; Poales; Poaceae
Description: long non-coding RNA (TAES_LNC015180)
Source: RNAcentral
AAGUAGAAAAAAUAGAUACCAUUUCAUUUAUCCAUGUCCAAGAAAAAAUUAAAUUUAAAAAAUAAAACUAAGAAAAUAAGCAAAGAAUCAAAUAAAAAAAGUAACUUAUGGGUUUUGGGACGAGGACCUCUCUACAUUACUAGUGCGAACAAACCACUUGUACUAAGCUGCGAUCUAGUCUAAUAAACACGCCGUACUCUGUUAUACUAGCCGGAGAAUUUUUUUAGCCUGCUACGUUCUGAUUGGUGGAACCAGGCCUCCCCCGGAUCACGCCUCUCCACCGUUCAUUCUUACUCGAUCCAACGGUCCCUACUCCUUCUACUAUCUAUUUGUGCUUUCGUUGGUACCUUAUCCUCUCUCACGAACACGAGCACCAUACCAGCAGCAGCGCACUCGAGUACCUUCUAGGCUCUCCGCCGCUGACCGCCGCCGGCUGCACGACGGGCCGUCGCCCGCGCCUCCCACAGCAGCACGCCAGUGAGCCCCGCCUCGCGCUGCCUCUCUUUGGGUUGCUCUCCUAUCUCAUCUCUCUCUCUCUCUGCCUCUCCUUGCAGCAAUGGAGGCCGAGCGCCCAUGGCGUCACCCAAGGACACCUUCUAGCCGCCGUUCUCCUUCAAAUUCGUCGGGAUCCGGCCUGAUCCGGACGGAUCCGGAUGUCGGCGGCCCAUUCCCGACCUUCCUGCCUCGCCUGGUUUGUCGGCCACUCCGAUGUCGUCAUCUUCGUCACGGGAUCCAGCGCUACCGAUGGCUGGCCUCCUCCUCGCCUGGAUGUGCCCCCCCACGCUGGCGCCUCCAAUCCGAGCAGCGGCAGCGAACACCUCGACAAGGGCGUCUCCGGCGUCAUCUUUAUUUUAAUUUUAUUUUAAAGAAGUUUGCCCGAUCAGUGGCCAGAGAAAAUAUUAGUCUCUUCUAGAACAGCGGAGACUUUCUUAAUAAGCGCAUUAAUAUAUGAAUUAUAUUCAUAAUUAUCAUAAAAAAAUUUAAGAUAGCUAAAUUUUCAGGCCUAUAAACAUCAUCAUCAUAAGCUUCAUUUUUUCAAACAAAGAUUCAAUUUCAUAAGCACCCUUAAAAGCAACAAAUUCUUCUAUUUGUUCCACAUCAUAGUAAUCAUAUAUACCUCUAGCAUAAGAAGCAAAGGUUUCAUUAUCAUUUAAUUUGCAUAAAAA